AGUGUGUGCUGACAGAUAUAGUACAGUAUUAAAGCUUUGCCUGUGCUGCUUAAUGCACAACUUAUUGCAUAAAAAAAUAACUUGUUUCUACCUUUGAUGCAUUGCAACCCCUUUCGGACUUUAAAAUAUUUUCCCCUUCUUAUCUUCCCUUUGAGAUGUGUACAACAUUGCCUACACAUCAGAUUUUGACUGCCUGAAAGAAGGAUCAUAGAGAAGUCUCAGCUGCAACAUGCAAGUGAUGAGGGACCACAACUGCAAGUACAGACAGCUGUUAGAAUUGUGCACAAGUGUUAUCCUUGCUCUCUGUCAGCAUCCAGGAAAGCACCACCAGGGGACUGGUGCACUGUAAGGCAGUAGUAUAGCUGGAGGUAUUCUGCCAGGGGGUUCCAUUCUGGUUUUGUCUCUUCUAAUAGCCAUUAUGUAUUAAUAUAUAGUGGUAAAUCACUUCUCAUAAUUAAUAUAAACGGUUGAGCAAACACUCAUACAUCAUACAUUCUUCAGGUGUUUGUGCUUGUGGAUACACAUUGUGAUGACCAAUAAGGCAGGAUGUAUUUGAAAUUUUAACCGUGCUGCUGUGCAACACAUAGCUUCAGACCUCACUGGGUCCAGAAGAGAGCAUGAAAUAUCAAAUCUCAUGUUUUAGAAGGAAAUGAUUCUUCUGGAGUCUUCUUGCUAUCUUCCUGCUAAGUUUGAGCAGAGAAGCCUCAUUUCUGCAUCAAAGUCCGUUCAGGUUCCAUACUAAGCAGUACAAGAUGAGGAGAGGCACUGCCACAGAACUAAUCAGAGUAUAGCUGAACACAGCCUUAGUGCCUGCACCACUUGAAACCACGUGUUAGCCUCAGGACAUGAGAGAUGUGCUUCAGCACUACAGAGCCUGCCACUAGGUUCACACUGACAGGUAUCUUCAGGCAGAGGAAAUGGGGCUGCUAUUCAAAAGCUAGUCAGCAAAAGUGAAGUGGCAUGGGUUGGAAUUAAAAAAAGAUAAAGUUGUAUUGCAGGGCUGUCAAAAAUUCAUUUCCCUACUGGGAGGGAUGAAUUAGUGGAUUUCACAGCAAGUGCCCACAAUUUCAUUGCUACUUAACAUAUUAGCAAGGUCAUGUUCUGUCCCUACAAUAGAUAAAAAGACAUUGAAUUGUAUCAACAGCUGAAUUGGAAUCUGAAGUACUCUUUAAAAUUUGCAGAUGGCAACAGUGAGCUGAAAAUCUACUUCAAGCAUUUUGUGAUGAAUGUUUUAAGAACUAGACAAGCACUUUUUUUUUCAUACAGAAAACAUUUUCCUCAUCAUUACUUACAUGAAAUCUGGUCAUUGUGGAGAGUUUGCUUCUGCAAUACCUUACAUACAUUUUGUACUCUUGGAAUUGUAGAUGCUUGAUAAAGUCUUUACCUUUAUUAUCACAUUCCCCUUACAUUUAUUGUAAAAUUAUUUUGAAUAAAAGUAACCAUUAGCAUGUCAGAUUGUAGGAAGUGUUCUAUAGCUAGCAGUUAUCCUUUAGAGAUCAAUUGUGAUCUCAGUUUAAGACUCCCAAGUAAAUUCCUAAUCAAGACAGUGUCCAAACAGACAUUGCUAAUGGGACUGGGAAAUAAAGGACUUAGGCAGGAGGGGGAAAAAAAAGGCAGUUCCCUCCUAGCCAGUGCCAUGGUCCCUUGCACCAACAGCCAUGGUGGGCUUAAUCCAGGGAGCAGGGACAUCAGAGAACAGGCAUGAUCUCCACAAAGCUGCCUCUCCAACAGGCCUUUUAUAAGUAAUACUGUAAGGCCACAUAAUUUUGAUUUAAAACUGGUGCUUACCAACAACGGUAGGAGUUGGUGAGAACUGGAACAGGGUGUGCCAGAAUGAUUCAAUGACCGAGCCUGGGAAAGGGCACAGCCUCUUCAGGGUGAGCUAACAUGAAAGCUUCGUUAGGCAUUAAAACAGGAUUUCUAAACAAGCUAACAAGUGUUCAACUGUAGACCAGUUAAAAUUUCCAUAGAAAAUAAAAAUAAAACUUGCUAACAGUUUGCCUGCAGGACUUCUGGAGUCAGUUUUCAGUAUACACUGAGGUUCUCCAAGUUCUUUGCAGAAUAAAAGCAGUGAUUCAUUCAAGAAGCUCUACUGAUUGCACAACAUUUCCUAUCUAGGAUUUAAGGAGGUUGUGUACACUGGCAGAGCAUGAGGAUGAAUUAAGCCUUUCUUUGUUUUUAAUCUGAGUCUUUUCAUAGCUAUGUUUAGUAUAACCUAAAUGCACUUUCAAAAGUUAAUAAAUUGACUUUCCCUCUGCA
This is a long non-coding RNA of Pipra filicauda (Wire-tailed manakin), 2259 nucleotides long. RefSeq lists it as uncharacterized. The record is from RefSeq and is a predicted model, not a curated record. Lineage: Eukaryota; Metazoa; Chordata; Aves; Passeriformes; Pipridae. The transcript is spliced from 3 exons.